Molecule: long non-coding RNA, 542 nt
Organism: Humulus lupulus (European hop)
Lineage: Eukaryota; Viridiplantae; Streptophyta; Magnoliopsida; Rosales; Cannabaceae
Exons: 3
Source: RefSeq, a predicted model, not a curated record
GAGGGUGCAAGUUGCUAGGUUAUUGUGAGAGUGUAAACACUUGGGUUGGGGAUUAUAAGCUUAAUCAUUUUUAAGCUUACCAAACACUUGGGAAGUAAGGUUUAUAACACAUUUCGGUUCAAGGUUUAGAUUGGUCAUAAAGCAUUCAAGGUAUUCCAAAACUCUAGUUCAUUUGGUAUUAUUUUCUUCAAGUUCUUAUAGUUUUCUACUCAGCCCCUAACUUUAUUAUUUAUUCUUGGAUAGGAAAUCUAAGUUCUUGAACAUAAGGUUUUUGGAGUGUUCCAAAGUCCCAAAACUGUUCUCAUAUCCCGGUAUUUUUGUGUGAUGCAGGAAAAUGAAUAUGGAAGGCGGAAGGAUUCUUGGUAGCUUAGCUUGUGUGUUGAGGAUGGAUGGAAUGUGUGGACUGCGUGUCAAUCGAGGAUGAAGUUAUUUAUUUAUUUUUAGUCUUUUAAAUCAUGUUUUUUUUCCGCAUUUGGUUUUGUAAAUAAUUUUCUUUAGUUUACAAUUAUGUUUUAUGUUUUAAACAAUGGGUACCCAUGCCA